CCCUUAGAUGUUCUGGGCCGCACGCGCGCUACACUGACAGGGCCAACGAGUUCAUCACCUUGGCCGGAAGGUCUGGGUAAUCUUGUUAAACCCUGUCGUGCUGGGGAUAGAGCAUUGCAAUUAUUGCUCUUCAACGAGGAAUGCCUAGUAAGCGCAUGUCAUCAGCAUGCGUUGAUUACGUCCCUGCCCUUUGUACACACCGCCCGUCGCUACUACCGGUUGAAUGAUCCGAUGAAUAUCAUGGAUUGAGGAUGCAAGUAGGUUAGCCUAUCUUCAUCUUCGAGAAGUGAAGUAAAUCUUAUCAUUUAGAGGAAGGAGAAGUCGUAACA
RNAcentral lists this ribosomal RNA (329 nucleotides) under uncultured eukaryote. RNAcentral describes it as "partial 18S ribosomal RNA". It matches the Rfam family "Eukaryotic small subunit ribosomal RNA", at positions 1470 to 1796 of the family's 1831-position model. The record is from RNAcentral.